This 497-nucleotide ribosomal RNA is filed under the name uncultured bacterium. RNAcentral's name for it is "partial 16S ribosomal RNA". It matches the Rfam family "Bacterial small subunit ribosomal RNA", at positions 28 to 507 of the family's 1533-position model. The record is from RNAcentral.
GACGAACGCUGGCGGCGUGCCUAAUACAUGCAAGUUGAGCGCUGAAGGUUGGUACUUGUACCAACUGGAUGAGCAGCGAACGGGUGAGUAACGCGUGGGGAAUCUGCCUUUGAGCGGGGGACAACAUUUGGAAACGAAUGCUAAUACCGCAUAAAAACUUUAAACACAAGUUUUAAGUUUGAAAGAUGCAAUUGCAUCACUCAAAGAUGAUCCCGCGUUGUAUUAGCUAGUUGGUGAGGUAAAGGCUCACCAAGGCGAUGAUACAUAGCCGACCGGAGAGGGUGAUCGGCCACAUUGGGACUGAGACCCGGCCCAAACUCCUACGGGAGGCAGCAGUAGGGAAUCUUCGGCAAUGGACGAAAGUCUGACCGAGAAACGCCGCGUGAGUGAAGAAGGUUUUCGGAUCGUAAAACUCUGUUGGUAGAGAAGAACGUUGGUGAGAGUGGAAAGCUCAUCAAGUGACGGUAACUACCCAGAAAGGGACGGCUAACUACGUG